AACGAACGCUGGCGGCAUGCCUAACACAUGCAAGUCGAACGGGAUCCGGACUUCGGUCCGGUGAGAGUGGCGGACGGGUGAGUAACACGUGGGAACCUGCCUUUUGGUUCGGGAUAACCGCGGGAAACUGCGGCUAAUACCGAAUGCCCUCGAGAGAGGAAAGAUUUAUCGCCAGAAGAGGAGCCCGCGUCCGAUUAGGUAGUUGGUGGGGUAAAGGCCUACCAAGCCGACGAUCGGUAGCUGGUCUGAGAGGAUGAUCAGCCACACUGGGACUGAGAUACGGCCCAGACUCCUACGGGAGGCAGCAGUGGGGAAUAUUGGACAAUGGGGGCAACCCUGAUCCAGCAAUGCCGCGUGAGUGAUGAAGGCCUUAGGGUUGUAAAGCUCUUUUGCCAGGGAAGAUGAUGACUGUACCUGGAGAAUAAGCCCCGGCUAACUUCGUGCCAGCAGCCGCGGUAAU
RNAcentral lists this ribosomal RNA (460 nucleotides) under uncultured bacterium. RNAcentral's name for it is "bacterial SSU rRNA". It matches the Rfam family "Bacterial small subunit ribosomal RNA", at positions 29 to 524 of the family's 1533-position model. The record is from RNAcentral.